This 582-nucleotide ribosomal RNA is filed under the name Rhizobacter sp. RDB-144. RNAcentral describes it as "bacterial SSU rRNA". It matches the Rfam family "Bacterial small subunit ribosomal RNA", at positions 102 to 680 of the family's 1533-position model. Lineage: Bacteria; Pseudomonadati; Pseudomonadota; Betaproteobacteria; Burkholderiales; Sphaerotilaceae. The record is from RNAcentral.
ACGGGUGAGUAAUACAUCGGAACGUGCCCAGUAGUGGGGGAUAGCCCGGCGAAAGCCGGAUUAAUACCGCAUACGACCUACGGGUGAAAGCGGGGGAUCGCAAGACCUCGCGCUAUUGGAGCGGCCGAUGUCAGAUUAGCUAGUUGGUGGGGUAAAAGCCUACCAAGGCGACGAUCUGUAGCUGGUCUGAGAGGACGACCAGCCACACUGGGACUGAGACACGGCCCAGACUCCUACGGGAGGCAGCAGUGGGGAAUUUUGGACAAUGGGCGCAAGCCUGAUCCAGCCAUGCCGCGUGUGGGAAGAAGGCCUUCGGGUUGUAAACCACUUUUGUCAGGGAAGAAACGGCUUGAUCUAAUAAAUCGAGCUAAUGACGGUACCUGAAGAAUAAGCACCGGCUAACUACGUGCCAGCAGCCGCGGUAAUACGUAGGGUGCAAGCGUUAAUCGGAAUUACUGGGCGUAAAGCGUGCGCAGGCGGCUAUGCAAGACAGAUGUGAAAUCCCCGGGCUCAACCUGGGAACUGCAUUUGUGACUGCAUGGCUAGAGUACGGUAGAGGGGGAUGGAAUUCCGCGUGUAGCA